GUACUGCUGAGGAGUCCAAAACUAGGACGAAACAGCUGUCCAGUAU
RNAcentral lists this non-coding RNA (46 nucleotides) under Trichobilharzia regenti. The record is from RNAcentral. Lineage: Eukaryota; Metazoa; Platyhelminthes; Trematoda; Strigeidida; Schistosomatidae.